CGACUUAUAUUCUGUAGCAAGGUUAACCGUAUAGGGGAGCCGCAGGGAAACCGAGUCUUAACUGGGCGUUAAGUUGCAGGGUAUAGACCCGAAACCCGGUGAUCUAGCCAUGGGCAGGUUGAAGGUUGGGUAACACUAACUGGAGGACCGAACCGACUAAUGUUGAAAAAUUAGCGGAUGACUUGUGGCUGGGGGUGAAAGGCCAAUCAAACCGGGAGAUAGCUGGUUCUCCCCGAAAGCUAUUUAGGUAGCGCCUCGUGAAUUCAUCUUCGGGGGUAGAGCACUGUUUCGGCUAGGGGGUCAUCCCGACUUACCAACCCGAUGCAAACUACGAAUACCGAAGAAUGUUAUCACGGGAGACACACGGCGGGUGCUAACGUCCGUCGUGAAGAGGGAAACAACCCAGACCGCCAGCUAAGGUCCCAAAGUCAUGGUUAAGUGGGAAACGAUGUGGGAAGGCACAGACAGCCAGGAUGUUGGCUUAGAAGCAGCCAUCAUUUAAAGAAAGCGUAAUAGCUCACUGGUCGAGUCGGCCUGCGCGGAAGAUGUAACGGGGCUAAACCAUGCACCGAAGCUGCGGCAGCGACACUAUGUGUUGUUGGGUAGGGGAGCGUUCUGUAAGCCUGCGAAGGUGACCUGUGAGGGUUNCCUUGGCGAUUGACGUUACCCGCAGAAGAAGCACCGGCUAACUCCGUGCCAGCAGCCGCGGUAAUACGGAGGGUGCAAGCGUUAAUCGGAAUUACUGGGCGUAAAGCGCACGCAGGCGGUCUGUCAAGUCGGAUGUGAAAUCCCCGGGCUUAACCUGGGAACUGCAUUCGAAACUGGCAGGCUAGAGUCUUGUAGAGGGGGGUAGAAUUCCAGGUGUAGCGGUGAAAUGCGUAGAGAUCUGGAGGAAUACCGGUGGCGAAGGCGGCCCCCUGGACAAAGACUGACGCUCAGGUGCGAAAGCGUGGGGAGCAAACAGGAUUAGAUACCCUGGUAGUCCACGCCGUAAACGAUGUCGAUUUGGAGGUUGUGCCCUUGAGGCGUGGCUUCCGGAGCUAACGCGUUAAAUCGACCGCCUGGGGAGUACGGCCGCAAGGUUAAAACUCAAAUGAAUUGACGGGGGCCCGCACAAGCGGUGGAGCAUGUGGUUUAAUUCGAUGCAACGCGAAGAACCUUACCUGGUCUUGACAUCCACAGAACUUUGCAGAGAUGGUUUGGUGCCUUCGGGAACUGUGAGACAGGUGCUGCAUGGCUGUCGUCAGCUCGUGUUGUGAAAUGUUGGGUUAAGUCCCGCAACGAGCGCAACCCUUAUCCUUUGUUGCCAGCGGUUCGGCCGGGAACUCAAAGGAGACUGCCAGUGAUAAACUGGAGGAAGGUGGGGAUGACGUCAAGUCAUCAUGGCCCUUACGACCAGGGCUACACACGUGCUACAAUGGCAUAUACAAAGAGAAGCGACCUCGCGAGAGCAAGCGGACCUCAUAAAGUAUGUCGUAGUCCGGAUUGGAGUCUGCAACUCGACUCCAUGAAGUCGGAAUCGCUAGUAAUCGUAGAUCAGAAUGCUACGGUGAAUACGUUCCCGGGCCUUGUACACACCGCCCGUCACACCAUGGGAGUGGGUUGCAAAAGAAGUAGGUAGCUUAACCUUCGGGAGGGCGCUUACCACUUUGUGAUUCAUGACUGGGGUGAAGUCGUAACAAGGUAACCGUAGGGGAACCUGCGGUUGGAUCACCU
RNAcentral lists this ribosomal RNA (1716 nucleotides) under Klebsiella pneumoniae. RNAcentral's name for it is "bacterial SSU rRNA". The stretch from base 546 to 1716 matches the Rfam family "Bacterial small subunit ribosomal RNA". The record is from RNAcentral. Lineage: Bacteria; Pseudomonadati; Pseudomonadota; Gammaproteobacteria; Enterobacterales; Enterobacteriaceae.